RNAcentral lists this ribosomal RNA (253 nucleotides) under uncultured bacterium. RNAcentral describes it as "partial 16S ribosomal RNA". It matches the Rfam family "Bacterial small subunit ribosomal RNA", at positions 524 to 776 of the family's 1533-position model. The record is from RNAcentral.
UACAGAGGUGGCAAGCGUUGUUCGGAAUUACUGGGCGUAAAGGGCGCGUAGGCGGUUCGUUAAGUCCUGUGUGAAAUCCCCCGGCUCAACUGGGGAACUGCACAGGAAACUAGCGGGCUUGAGUUCGGGAGAGGGAAGCGGAAUUCCGGGUGUAGCGGUGAAAUGCGUAGAUAUCCGGAGGAACACCGGUGGCGAAGGCGGGUAGCUGGGCCAACACUGACGCUGAGACGCGAAAGCUAGGGGAGCAAACGGG